Molecule: long non-coding RNA, 304 nt
Filed under: Prunus dulcis (almond)
Lineage: Eukaryota; Viridiplantae; Streptophyta; Magnoliopsida; Rosales; Rosaceae
Description: sRNA ncRNA
Source: RNAcentral
AUGGGGAAUCCACAAGAAGGAAAUAACAAAGGAAAGGGCAAAGUUUAUGAGAACUAUGAAUUUUAGACCAUGGAUGAUAUCAAUGAGUUGUUGCACCUCUUGGUGGAUGCUAUCAAUAGUGGAUUGUGUGAUGCUAAUGGGUCACUUAGCAAGCAAAAUGUAGAAAGAGUGAUACUUCCUCGUCUUAAUGCGAAAAUUAGGUUUCCAAAAACUUAUAAUCAUUACUUGAGCCGAAUGAAGUGGUUUAGGAAGCAAUAUAACAAAAUAUCUACGCUUAUGCAUAACAACUCUGGGUUUGGGCUAG